AGUCCUGCCCGGAUGGGGCUCGCCGGAUCGGUUUCGGUUUUCACGCACUCCCAUUUCUGUGGCCGCUGUGCAUUCGCGGAGUGUUCUCUGCUGCUUCUGGGUCCUGACAGUCUUGAAAAGAUCCAGCUGCUGAACUGGUAAGAGGUGGACUGCUGCCUCUGCAUGUGUAGAGCACAGGAACUGACAUGGCUGCUAGGGAUCUGACUCUAGCUCUACCUCAGACUUGCUGGACACCUUGGCCAAUUCAUUUUUUUCUCUGGGCCAGGGCAUCACCCCACCUCCACAAGGAGAGGGUAAGCAUCAUCAGGCUCCCUUGAUAUCUUUGAGAUCUGACAGUUCAACUCAUUUUUUUCUAUAAUAUUCCAUGAUCUUCCACGGAAUAUUAUAGAAAAUAUAGAUGUUCCAUGACCUUCCAUGGCAUUCUAUACAUUGCCAACAAAAAUCAAUAUUGAACAUCAGACUCCCAUCCUAGUACUGAGUCUAAAUAAACGAUGAGGAGUAGGGAGCUGCUGCUGGCUCAUUAUGCAACUUUUUUCCCAUCUGGAUGGCUGGACUAUAAAAGUUUCCCUGGGGCUAUGCUUUCCUGCUUUGCAAAGUCCUGAUUCUCAUUUGUGGGCCUGAUUUGGAAGUUUAUUUUCUUUUCCAGAAUCUCCAUUAUAGACUUCCUCCCUACCUCGUGCCUCUGGUCACUGCCACUUGCUCACAUUUCACUCAGAACCUUGAUUCUUUGAAUUAGACUAAGAUUAUGAGAAGGCAGUUUGCAAACCUGGGGUCCAGGGAAACAAAGGGCCAGAGCAGUCUCAGUUGUGGAAGCAGGGAGAGAGGAGGUGUGCAAAGUAGUCAGGUGGCAGGCUUGAAAUAGUCCCAGGCACUAUUGUGCUGCUCCUGUCACAGGGGCUAGUCUUCUAUGCCUUCUGCCCAGCCACCAAACAUUCUGUCACACCAGUCAGUUUUUGGAGUGACUAGUGUGGGAGGAACAAUUCGUGAGAAAUUGAGCUAAACCCAAAAGAAAUGGGGCUUCAGGAAAAAAAAUAUUCUUUGUGAUCCUAGAGAACUCCCAGCUGAGCACCCUUCUUUAUGGUCCAGAUAUUACUGAGUCUUGGGAGGAUACUGUAUGUGUGUAUUAAAGGGGAAAAGAUGUGGGAGGGGACAACACAGCUUCUUGUUUGCAUAGCUCACUUCUCUCCAGGGACGAUGUAUGGAAAGACCAAGUGUGUGCAUAAACUUGCACCUCAAAAUGCCUCCUCAUAGAGAGAGUACUGUAAGACCCCAUUCCACAUGCUGACUGACACGUGGUCAACUUGCUUAGUCAAGACAGGCACUGGUUGUGAGGAGCUGGAAAUCUUUCUUAAGUUUGUUUACCUGCAAAAUGGAGAUAAUCCUCGUGCUGCCUAGUGUCUUGUGGCUGCGGUGAAAAGCCCAUAAGAACAGAUGUGUGGGCUGUGUGGAGGCAACUUCAUAAACUCAAGUAGACACAUCAUUACAGGGCACAUCAUUACAAUGCUCAUUUCUUUCUUCACCAAGUAUUCCAUAGUCAUUUCCUCUAUGCCAGGCCUGUUGAUAGUUAUUGGGAGAAGCAGUACAGUGUUAACCUUUUUGAGGCACCUGGGUAUGGAGUUCUGAGAGGAACUGAAAUCUACACUAGAGGUCUGGCAAAGGUGUUCUGGAGCAUUGCAGAUGAAGAGACUCCUUCUCCCCAGGGUGGCAAGGGGUAUCAGAGAAAAGUUCUAUGGAGGAUAGCUUUGACGGUUGGGUCAAGUCAGAAAAGUAGGGGAAGGAUUCCUGCCCAAGCCAAAGCCCAUCAGUGAGAGGGUAUGGUGGGUUGGGCAAGAGCUACAAUUCUGGAUGGCUGUGGCUAAGUAUUUGUGUGGUGGGGAGAGGAAGAGCUGGACAUUAGACUAGAAAGAAAGGCCUGGGGCCAAAGUGUAAAAGACCAUGACUGCCUGGGUAAAUUGAGGCUCAACUAGCUAAGUUCAUCUUUUCCAGGAAAGUGGUAUGUUGUAGUGGCUCUGCCACCAGACUGCCUGGGCUGGGAUGUGAAGCUUGCCACUUAGGAGCAGUAUGAUCUGGGCAGGUCAAUUUACCUCUCUGAGUCUCAACAUUUUUUUCUGCAAAAUGAAAAUAAUAGCACCCAUGUCAGAGAAUUGUGGUAAGAAUUGAGUAGUCCAUAUGAAGUGGCACAGAGGCUAGUACAUAAGAUGGUAUCAAUAAAUGUUAGUUACUGAUGCUGUUAUUAUUAUUGCUAUCCUUCUGAUCCAAUGUACAGAUCUUCAAAGUUAUGGAACUGCUAAUAUGACUUUGAAACCAGUUUUUGUUUUGUUUUUGGUUUUUUUUUUGAGACGGAGUCACGCUCUGUCGCCCGGACUGGAGUGCAGUGGAGCGAUCUCGGCUCACUGCAAGCUCCGCCUCCCGGGUUCACGCCAUUCUCCUGCCUCAGCCUCCCGAGUAGCUAGGACUACAGGUACCUGCCACCACACCCAGCUAAUUUUUCGUAUUAUUAGUAGAGGCGGGGUUUCACUGUGUUAGCCAGGUUGGUCUAGAUCUCCUGACCUCAUGAUCCAUCUGCCUUGGCCUCCCAAAGUGUUGGGAUUACAGGCGUGAGCCACCACACCUGGCCGAAACCAGUUUUUAAUAUAAACACACAUGAGCCUAUGAUUCCUUAUGAACAGACUCACUUUAUUGUGCAGACCCAGACUCAGUUUCCCAGGGCAGAAUAUUUUGUUCAUCUUCAUAUCCUCAGCACUCAACAGAGAGUUUGGCAGAAACUUGUUGAUGAGUAUGUAUUUACUGAACAUGAAAUGAGGCAUUUUCAGGCCUAAUAUCAAGCUUAAGUGCCAGCAUCCACCAAUGAAGUGUGAUGUUACCACUCAUUGGGCAUCUCCUUUGUGCCAGGCCCUGUGUUAAGUGACACACUCAUUACCCAGAAUGAUGGACUACACACAGCUUCUGGUCUCAAGGGCAACCAGUCUAGUGGAAGAGGAAGAAAACUCCUGAGUUUCUUACUUGGACAAGGGACUGCUGGAUGGUGUUGUCAUCCACUGAACUGAGUAAUAUAGGAACAGAAUUAGGAAAAUGUGGCCAGGUGCGGUGGCUCACGCCUGUAAUCCCAGCACUUUGGGAGGCCGAGGUGGGCGGAUCACAAGGUCAGGAGAUCAAGACCAUUCUGGCUAACACGGUGAAACCCCGUGUCUACUAAAAAUACAAAAAAUUAGCCGGGCGUGAUGGCGGGCGCCUGUAGUCCCAGCUACUUGGGAGGCUGAGGCGGGAGAAUGGCAUGAACCUGGGAGGCAGAACUUGGAGUGAUCCUUGAUCGCUCCACUGCACUCCAGCCUGGGCGACAGAGCGAGACUCCGUCUCCAAAAAAAAAAUGAUUUUGUUUAGGACAUACUGAAUUUGACUUGUCAGAAAUCCCACCUCAGGGCCUUUGCACUGGCUGCUCCCUCUGCCUACAGUGUUUGUCCUCUGAAUAUUGGCAUAGUUUGCACCUCAUUUCCUUCAGGUGGCUGCUCAAAUGUCAUUAAUAGUGACACCUUCACUGAACAGUUGAUAUAUAAAAUAGCAAUCCCCAUUUCCACCCCCUUCACUCUCCAAUUCUUUAAUAGGCCUUUUUUUCUUAUCCACAGCAUUUACCACCUCUUGGUAUAUUUUUUAUUGUUAUUUAUUUUAGAGUCAUUUUUAAAUUUUCUCUUUCUUAUCAUGAAAAUGGAAGCUCCGU
Molecule: long non-coding RNA, 3715 nt
Filed under: Homo sapiens (human)
Lineage: Eukaryota; Metazoa; Chordata; Mammalia; Primates; Hominidae
Description: non-protein coding lnc-ZC3H12B-20:6
Source: RNAcentral